CAGCCAUUGAUCUUAAUCCUUCUAUAAAUAGAGGUAAGCGAGGAUCUCUCCAGAUAAGCAAUACAUGCUCCAAUGCUGAGACUCUGCUUCUCCUUGUAUUGAGUUUCAUUCAUGAUUUGAAUAUCGGAGGAUCCUCGUCAGAAUAACUUUCAGCCAGAACUUUCCUUGUAGGUCUCAUUCCCAAUGGCCUGGUGCUCCACCAAGCUCUGGUAGCUCCGACGUGA
This 224-nucleotide long non-coding RNA is filed under the name Elaeis guineensis (African oil palm). RNAcentral describes it as "long non-coding RNA (EGUI_LNC005311)". Lineage: Eukaryota; Viridiplantae; Streptophyta; Magnoliopsida; Arecales; Arecaceae. The record is from RNAcentral.